CUGACCUUAGCUCAGUGGGUAGAGUGGUGGACUGUAGUUGGACUAAUCUAAAUUGGAAAUCCUUAGGUCGCUGGUUUGAUUCCGGCAGGUUGGA
This is a transfer RNA of Ipomoea nil (Japanese morning glory), 94 nucleotides long. It matches the Rfam family "tRNA". From Rfam's summary of the family: Transfer RNA (tRNA) molecules are approximately 80 nucleotides in length. Their secondary structure includes four short double-helical elements and three loops (D, anti-codon, and T loops). The record is from Rfam. NCBI's taxonomy places the organism in Eukaryota, Viridiplantae, Streptophyta, Magnoliopsida, Solanales, Convolvulaceae.